GGGGUAGUGGCGUAAUUGGCAGCCGCAACAGAUUUAGGAUCUGUCGUCUUCGGACGUGUGGGUUCGAGUCCCACCUACCCUA
RNAcentral lists this transfer RNA (82 nucleotides) under Caudoviricetes sp. RNAcentral describes it as "tRNA-Leu". It matches the Rfam family "tRNA". From Rfam's summary of the family: Transfer RNA (tRNA) molecules are approximately 80 nucleotides in length. Their secondary structure includes four short double-helical elements and three loops (D, anti-codon, and T loops). Further hydrogen bonds mediate the characteristic L-shaped molecular structure. tRNAs have two regions of fundamental functional importance: the anti-codon, which is responsible for specific mRNA codon recognition, and the 3' end, to which the tRNAs corresponding amino acid is attached (by aminoacyl-tRNA synthetases). tRNAs cope with the degeneracy of the genetic code in two manners: having more than one tRNA (with a specific anti-codon) for a particular amino acid; and 'wobble' base-pairing, i.e. permitting non-standard base-pairing at the 3rd anti-codon position. Lineage: Duplodnaviria; Heunggongvirae; Uroviricota; Caudoviricetes. The record is from RNAcentral.